RNAcentral lists this small nuclear RNA (117 nucleotides) under Eutrema salsugineum. RNAcentral's name for it is "U5 spliceosomal RNA". It matches the Rfam family "U5 spliceosomal RNA". Rfam says of the family: U5 RNA is a component of both types of known spliceosome. The precise function of this molecule is unknown, though it is known that the 5' loop is required for splice site selection and p220 binding, and that both the 3' stem-loop and the Sm site are important for Sm protein binding and cap methylation. The record is from Rfam by way of RNAcentral. Lineage: Eukaryota; Viridiplantae; Streptophyta; Magnoliopsida; Brassicales; Brassicaceae.
AGCCAUGUGGUGAGCACAAAGCGAACUAUUCUUUCGCCUUUUACUAAAGAAUACCGUGUGCUCUCCACGCUAAGUGGCAUACGCCUAUUUUUGGAGGGUCCCGCUUUCGGUGGGCCC